CUAGCGGCAGGCUUAAUACAUGCAAGUCGUGGGGCAGCAUGAGUAGCAAUACUUGAUGGCGACCGGCAAACGGGUGAGGAACACGUACACAACCUUCCUUCAAGCGGGGAAUAGCCCAGAGAAAUUUGGAUUAAUACCCCAUAAUAUAUUUGAUAAGGCAUCUUAUUAAUAUUAAAGCUUCGGCACUUGAUGAUGGGUGUGCGGCUGAUUAGAUAGUUGGCGGGGUAACGGCCCACCAAGUCUACGAUCAGUAGCUGAUGUGAGAGCAUGAUCAGCCACACGGGCACUGAGACACGGGCCCGACUCCUACGGGAGGCAGCAGUAAGGAAUAUUGGACAAUGGACGAAAGUCUGAUCCAGCCAUGCCGCGUGAAGGAUUAAGGUCCUCUGGAUUGUAAACUUCUUUUAUAUGGGACGAAAAAAGGGCAUUCUUGUUCACUUGACGGUACCAUAUGAAUAAGCACCGGCUAACUCCGUG
RNAcentral lists this ribosomal RNA (477 nucleotides) under uncultured bacterium. Its description in RNAcentral is "bacterial SSU rRNA". It matches the Rfam family "Bacterial small subunit ribosomal RNA", at positions 36 to 507 of the family's 1533-position model. The record is from RNAcentral.